RNAcentral lists this ribosomal RNA (1384 nucleotides) under Dokdonia genika. RNAcentral's name for it is "bacterial SSU rRNA". It matches the Rfam family "Bacterial small subunit ribosomal RNA". The record is from RNAcentral. Lineage: Bacteria; Pseudomonadati; Bacteroidota; Flavobacteriia; Flavobacteriales; Flavobacteriaceae.
GUCGAGGGGUAACAGGAGUAGCUUGCUAUUUGCUGACGACCGGCGCACGGGUGCGUAACGCGUAUAGAAUCUACCUUAUACUGGGGGAUAGCCUUUGGAAACGAAGAUUAAUACCCCAUAGUAUUAUUUUUUGGCAUCAUUAAAUAAUUAAAGUUUCGGCGGUAUAAGAUGACUAUGCGUUCUAUUAGUUAGUUGGUAAGGUAACGGCUUACCAAGACUUCGAUAGAUAGGGGUCCUGAGAGGGAGAUCCCCCACACUGGUACUGAGACACGGACCAGACUCCUACGGGAGGCAGCAGUGAGGAAUAUUGGACAAUGGAGGCAACUCUGAUCCAGCCAUGCCGCGUGUAGGAAGACUGCCCUAUGGGUUGUAAACUACUUUUAUAUGGGAAGAAUAAGAUCUACGUGUAGAUUGAUGACGGUACCAUAAGAAUAAGCACCGGCUAACUCCGUGCCAGCAGCCGCGGUAAUACGGAGGGUGCAAGCGUUAUCCGGAAUCAUUGGGUUUAAAGGGUCCGUAGGCGGGCAUAUAAGUCAGUGGUGAAAGUCUGUGGCUNAACCAUAGAAUUGCCAUUGAUACUGUAUGUCUUGAAUUAUUGUGAAGUGGUUAGAAUAUGUAGUGUAGCGGUGAAAUGCUUAGAGAUUACAUAGAAUACCGAUNGCGAAGGCAGAUCACUAACAAUAUAUUGACGCUGAUGGACGAAAGCGUAGGUAGCGAACAGGAUUAGAUACCCUGGUAGUCUACGCCGUAAACGAUGGAUACUAGUUGUUUGGUUUUCGGACUGAGUGACUAAGCGAAAGUGAUAAGUAUCCCACCUGGGGAGUACGUUCGCAAGAAUGAAACUCAAAGGAAUUGACGGGGGCCCGCACAAGCGGUGGAGCAUGUGGUUUAAUUCGAUGAUACGCGAGGAACCUUACCAGGGCUUAAAUGUAGUCUGACAGCUUUAGAGAUAGAGUUUUCUUCGGACAGAUUACAAGGUGCUGCAUGGUUGUCGUCAGCUCGUGCCGUGAGGUGUCAGGUUAAGUCCUAUAACGAGCGCAACCCCUGUGGUUAGUUGCCAGCGAGUAAUGUCGGGAACUCUAGCCAGACUGCCGGUGCAAACCGUGAGGAAGGUGGGGAUGACGUCAAAUCAUCACGGCCCUUACGUCCUGGGCCACACACGUGCUACAAUGGUAGGGACAGAGAGCAGCCACUUAGCGAUAAGGAGCGAAUCUAUAAACCCUAUCUCAGUUCGGAUUGGAGUCUGCAACUCGACUCCAUGAAGCUGGAAUCGCUAGUAAUCGGAUAUCAGCCAUGAUCCGGUGAAUACGUUCCCGGGCCUUGUACACACCGCCCGUCAAGCCAUGGAAGCUGGGGGUACCUGAAGUCCGUCACCGUAAGGAGC